Hibiscus syriacus is the source of this 266-nucleotide long non-coding RNA. RefSeq lists it as uncharacterized. Lineage: Eukaryota; Viridiplantae; Streptophyta; Magnoliopsida; Malvales; Malvaceae. The transcript is spliced from 3 exons. The record is from RefSeq and is a predicted model, not a curated record.
CCGCUUUAAACCAUACUUCCAAGUUGGAAACAUUGGACGCCAAACCCAAGUCAUGGAAGAUGAUAUUGAAAUUGCGGCAUACAUGUUUCGACGUACAGUCCCUUCUUUGCACAUGACACCUGAAGAUGUUCGUUAGAUGGUUGGAGCUUGGAGGGAUAGGAUCAUAAUCUGCAUGGGAAUUUACGGUCCCAACGCAAAUUUGAUCAAGGCCUUUCUAGAUUCCGGGGCCAAAGCUGUUAUAUGCCCUGCAGCUGAGCCCCAUGAUG